RNAcentral lists this small nuclear RNA (161 nucleotides) under Lupinus albus (white lupine). RNAcentral's name for it is "U1 spliceosomal RNA". It matches the Rfam family "U1 spliceosomal RNA". From Rfam's summary of the family: U1 is a small nuclear RNA (snRNA) component of the spliceosome (involved in pre-mRNA splicing). Its 5' end forms complementary base pairs with the 5' splice junction, thus defining the 5' donor site of an intron. The record is from RNAcentral. Lineage: Eukaryota; Viridiplantae; Streptophyta; Magnoliopsida; Fabales; Fabaceae.
AUACUUACCUAGAUGGGGUCAAUGAGUGAUCAAGAAGGCCCAUUGCCUAGGGUAGUGACCUCCAUUGCACUUAGGAGGGGUGCUCUCCUAAGGUCCACCCAAGUGGUGGAGCCUACGUCAUAAUUUGUAGCAGUGGGGGUUUGCGUUCGCGCAACCCUUCU